GUGUCAGUAGGUUCGUCGUGCCACCGGUACGUACUGGUCUCACUGAUUCCUCCUUCCUGAAGAACCGUAAUGCCAUUAAUUUGGUGUUGCGGGGAAACAGGACUGUUACUUUGAAAAAAUUAGAGUGUUUAAAGCAAGCUAACGCUUGAAUACAUUAGCAUGGAAUAAUGAAAUAGGACGAUCGAUCCUAUUUUGUUGGUUUCUAGGAUUGACGUA
This 216-nucleotide ribosomal RNA is filed under the name Glomeromycotina sp. RNAcentral's name for it is "partial small subunit ribosomal RNA". The stretch from base 40 to 216 matches the Rfam family "Eukaryotic small subunit ribosomal RNA", at positions 686 to 864 of the family's 1831-position model. The record is from RNAcentral. Lineage: Eukaryota; Fungi; Glomeromycota.